Molecule: ribosomal RNA, 492 nt
Filed under: uncultured bacterium
Lineage: Bacteria
Description: partial 16S ribosomal RNA
Rfam family: Bacterial small subunit ribosomal RNA
Source: RNAcentral
AGUGAACGCUGGCGGUAGGCCUAACACAUGCAAGUCGAACGGCGGCACAGUAAGAGCUUGCUCUUACGGGUGGCGAGUGGCGGACGGGUGAGGAAUACAUCGGAGUCUACUUUUUCGUGGGGGAUAACGUAGGGAAACUUACGCUAAUACCGCAUACGACCUACGGGUGAAAGCAGGGGAUCUUCGGACCUUGCGCGAUUGAAUGAGCCGAUGUCGGAUUAGCUAGUUGGCGGGGUAAAGGCCCACCAAGGCGACGAUCCGUAGCUGGUCUGAGAGGAUGAUCAGCCACACUGGAACUGAGACACGGUCCAGACUCCUACGGGAGGCAGCAGUGGGGAAUAUUGGACAAAGGGCGCAAGCCUGAUCCAGCCAUACCGCGUGGGUGAAGGAGGCCUUCGGGUUGUAAAGCCCUUUUGUUGGGAAAGAAAAGCAGCAGGUUAAUACCCCGCUGUUCUGACGGUACCCAAAGAAUAAGCACCGGCUAACUUCGUG